Molecule: ribosomal RNA, 1345 nt
Filed under: Bacillus sp. (in: firmicutes)
Lineage: Bacteria; Bacillati; Bacillota; Bacilli; Caryophanales; Bacillaceae
Description: bacterial SSU rRNA
Rfam family: Bacterial small subunit ribosomal RNA
Source: RNAcentral
GGUGAGUAACACGUGGGCAACCUGCCUGUAAGAUUGGGAUAACUUCGGGAAACCGGAGCUAAUACCGGAUAAUUUAUGAACUCGCANGAGUUCAUAAUAAAAGAUGGCUUCGGCUAUCANUUACAGAUGGGCCCGCGGCGCANUAGCUAGUUGGUGAGGUAAUGGCUUACCAAGGCGACNAUGCGUAGCCNACCUGAGAGGGUGAUCGGCCACACUGGGACUGAGACACGGCCCAGACUCCUACGGGAGGCAGCAGUAGGGAAUCUUCCGCAAUGGACGAAAGUCUGACGGAGCAACGCCGCGUGAGCGAUGAAGGCCUUCGGGUCNUAAAGCUCUGUUGUUAGGGAAGAACAAGUAUCGUUCNAAUAGGGCGGUACCUUGACGGUACCUAACCAGAANGCCACGGCUAACUACGUGCCAGCAGCCGCGGUAAUACGUAGGUGGCAAGCGUUGUCCGGAAUUAUUGGGCGUAAAGCGCGCGCAGGCGGUCUUUUAAGUCUGAUGUGAAAGCCCACGGCUCAACCGUGGAGGGUCAUUGGAAACUGGAGGACUUGAGUGCAGAAGAGGAGAGCGGAAUUCCACGUGUAGCGGUGAAAUGCGUAGAGAUGUGGAGGAACACCAGUGGCGAAGGCGGCUCUCUGGUCUGUAACUGACGCUGAGGCGCGAAAGCGUGGGGAGCGAACAGGAUUAGAUACCCUGGUAGUCCACGCCGUAAACGAUGAGUGCUAAGUGUCAGGGGGUUUCCGCCCCUUGGUGCUGAAGUUAACGCAUUAAGCACUCCGCCUGGGGAGUACGACCGCAAGGUUGAAACUCAAAGGAAUUGACGGGGGCCCGCACNGCGGUGGAGCAUGUGGUUUAAUUCGAAGCAACGCGAAGAACCUUACCAGGUCUUGACAUCCUCUGACAAUCCUGGAGACAGGACGUUCCCUUCGGGGACAGAGUGACAGGUGGUGCAUGGUUGUCGUCAGCUCGUGUCGUGAGAUGUUGGGUUAAGUCCCGCAACGAGCGCAACCCUUGUCCUUAGUUGCCAGCAUUCAGUUGGGCACUCUAAGGAGACUGCCGGUGACAAACCGGAGGAAGGUGGGGAUGACGUCAAAUCAUCAUGCCCCUUAUGACCUGGGCUACACACGUGCUACAAUGGAUGGUACAAAGGGCAGCAAGACCGCGAGGUUUAGCAAAUCCCAUAAAGCCAUUCUCAGUUCGGAUUGUAGGCUGCAACUCGCCUGCAUGAAGCCGGAAUCGCUAGUAAUCGCGGAUCAGCAUGCCGCGGUGAAUACGUUCCCGGGCCUUGUACACACCGCCCGUCACACCACGAGAGUUUGUAACACCCGAAGUCGGUGGGGUA